UUAUAAAGAUCUUUAAGGGUCAUAAUAUCAGAUAGUUGACAUAGUUCAUAUUUUUAAUUAAAAAAGUAAAAACGAAAUAAGAGGAAUAGCAUACAUUAUUGUUGUUGCGGUGUGUCACGUGACAAUCAUGACCCGUCGCCAUGGACACAAGGGGUCGGAUAUUUAAAGUUAAAUAUUUUUAACUUACGCGUGAAAUGGUUAAUUUUAAAUAUAUAUAUAUAUAUAUUCUAAGUAAACAACAACAGCCCAAGUUUAGUAAACAUUUUUUUAUUGAAACUAUAAAUAAAUAUUCUGCAUCCAUUAGGUGUGCCACUGUGGGUGGCUCUUGCACACCCGUGGCUACGCCCCUGCCGUGACCCAAAUCUCGUUCGCACAUCAUCGCGAUGUUUAUCGUCAAUUUACAAACCUCGCCAGUCGCCACAUCUUUUUUCUUCACAUACAUCUCAUACUCCUCCAUCUACACUCUUCACAACAUUUAAACCAACAGCUCUUUUAACAGCCAUCACUUGCAAAAGCUCUCCUACUCACUCACUCACUCUCCAACUCACUCAAGGUGCGUUCCAUUCAACCGUAAGUCGACCAUCGACCAUCAAGAGAUUAGCCUAUCCCCUGUAUGUCAUUGAUGCACUACUUCAAAGAUGUGAGAAAAAGAACAUACACCUGCGAGUAGUCUGUUACAUUGACUGUGUUGCUGCCUCACAUUUGCAGAAAUCAGGGGAGGGCAUAUCACACAACAUUGCCUUGGCCGUACCAGCAUUUCAUGUUUAUGGACACAAAUUGCCCUGACAGAUCAAGUACAGUACCAGAUGGCUUGAUGGGUUUGGGCUCACAGACGGGGAAGGAAUGAAAAGGCUGUGGUCUUUCCUCCAAAGAUUUGCCAGAGUCACAAAGGAGAUGACUCCAUCUCAUCGCCUUGACCUACUGACUGAUGCCCUUUUGCAUUAUGGACGGAGGAAAUCAGCUGACCUAGGUGUGUCUACUGCUGUAUAACCUUUCAAAAUUCUGUGCUGGUGGUUCACUGUUUAUACAUUUUUAUAUUUUCUGGAGUGAAGCCGAUCACACACAAAAUGGUAAGCAUACUAUUAGUAGAUUAAACUGUCUUUUCAGAGGUGCAGCUCCUGCAAAGAGUAGACAAAGCAGAGAAAAUAUUGCUCAAGAAGAUCUCUCAUCUGUCAUCAGAGAGGCACCAGUGUUGAUUUCUGAAGGAGACAUGGAGAGAUGGAAAAAAGCUAGCCCAACAGAAACCAAUAAAUGGAAAAGGGACUACAUCAUCAGACUGAUUCAGUUCUACAAGUUCAAAAUUGAGGACUCUGCUGAACAUUGAGGAAAAAUACCGUAUUGGGAGAAGAUGGCAAGAGUCUGAUUCAAACUUCCAGUCUACCCUUAAAGAUGUGGACCGUGAGCUCAGAGUCCAACUGUAAGGCUAGAACUGAAUCAAGGGAGAGAGCAGUCGUCCUCCACCUGAGAAGAAUAUAUCCAGCUUUGCUUCAGAUGGGCAGGGCAUUGCCAUUAGACUCUCCAAGCAGGUAGCCAAUUGAUUUUCAGGAAUCAUGUGAUCCCUCUUGGCAUGUCUACUUCUGCUUUAAUGACACUAUUGAAGAAGAUGAUGUUUCGAGGAGUCUAAAAAGGCGAGGGAUUGAUGCCUUACAUAUGAAGACUCGGGUAGCUGAGGAAAAGUGGCCAAGUGGUCUAAGGGGCCAGUCACACCAAAAGCGUUUAUGGCAGUUGCAGGCGCCUUUUUUGAAUGCUAUUCUAUGGGCAGGGCGCGUUUACGCGCUGUUUAUGUGCGCCGAGCGCCUCGCGUUUUUUUGCCGCCUGCCGCGCAUGCGUUUUUGAAGGAGCGCUGAGAGCGGAGAAGAGCCCGACGUCAUUCGGGUCUUUCCAUUGUCCAAUCAAAUGAGGGGAGAGCCGGGCCUUACGUUGUGGUGAGUGAAGUUUACAGUUGCUUUGAAAAACCGGACUCCACUCGCUCACUCUCUCCUGCGUGUUUGUGCACCUCUUAUCCUCAAACAAGGUCAGAGCAAGCGCCCUCUUUUUAAAGUUUCUGCUAAUAUGACAGUUAACAUCAAAAGAGCGCUCAUGCUUCAAUAUUUGAUUGACAAGACAGCUGACUCGGUGGUUGCUUAGCAAUAUGAAAAGCCACGUCGCACUGCUCUUUUUUUGCAAGCGUUUAAAGCGCUUUUGGUGUGCCUGGCCCCUAAUUGAACACCCCAUCAGCAGCAGGCCUCUAACAUUUGGGCUCUAACAUCAAAGACACUGAGCAGCCUGGUGCAAAAGCUGCUCUCAUUCAACACCUCCAACAGCUGGAAAGAAAACUACAUCAAGCCAUUGUGAUGUUUCACCCACAUCUAUCGGACAUUGUUCCUGCAGACAACCCCCACUUGUGUCAGGCCCUCCCCAUGCCAAGCAUACAGACACUGGUAUACAAUGAUAAGAGUGAUAAUGAUGAAAAUGUGGAUAAAUAUGAUAACUAGCACUACAGAUUUUUUGUUAAUUUCUAGUUUGAUAUUGUAUUCUGUAAAAAGAAAGAUGUAAAAUGUAUAGUAUAUGUUGCAGCAUAUCAUAGAAACCUUUAUGGUGCUGUAAUAUAAUGUUCGCCUUACUUGUGCAAACAUGAUGUUUUACUAGGUCUGAUUUAUUUUAAAGCGUAGGUACUGUUUUUAAGCACACAUAUUCACACUAGUCUGUGUGAGGACAAAAUUGUGUGUUUACCAUUGUGAUGUUACUUAUUUACUGUAAUGUAAAAAUGUGGUCAAUGUGUGUAAGGUGUUUUGUUUUUGUGAGCUAAGUUAAAAUGACAAAGUAUUGAAUCUUGAAUCCUUUGAAACAAAUACUGUAAAAGUUUGUAAAAAAAAAAAUAA
Non-coding RNA from Misgurnus anguillicaudatus (oriental weatherfish), 2861 nucleotides. The record is from RefSeq and is a predicted model, not a curated record. Lineage: Eukaryota; Metazoa; Chordata; Actinopteri; Cypriniformes; Cobitidae.